RNAcentral lists this ribosomal RNA (459 nucleotides) under uncultured bacterium. Its description in RNAcentral is "bacterial SSU rRNA". It matches the Rfam family "Bacterial small subunit ribosomal RNA", at positions 28 to 507 of the family's 1533-position model. The record is from RNAcentral.
GAUGAACGUUGGCGGUGUGCCUAAUACAUGCAAGUCGAACGGAGACUGUAGCAAUACUGUCUUAGUGGCGAACGGGUGAGUAACGCGUUGGUGAUCUGCCUCGAAGUGUGGAAUAACCUCCCGAAAGGGAAGCUAAUACCGCAUAGUCUCUCAAGGUUUAGAAAAUUGAGAGUAAAGGAUUUAUUCGCUUCGAGAGGAGCCUGCGUCCCAUCAGCUAGUUGGUAGGGUAACGGCCUACCAAGGCAAUGACGGGUAGGGGACCUGAGAGGGUGGCCCCCCACAAUGGAACUGAAACACGGUCCAUACACCUACGGGUGGCAGCAGUAGGGAAUAUUAGUAAUGGGCGAAAGCCUGAACUAGCAACGCCGCGUGUGCGAAGAAGGCCUUCGGGUCGUAAAGCACUUUUUGAGAGGAUGAGGAAGGACGGUACUCUCAGAAUAAGUCUCGGCUAACUACGUG